RNAcentral lists this ribosomal RNA (1816 nucleotides) under Dermacentor andersoni. RNAcentral describes it as "small subunit ribosomal RNA". It matches the Rfam family "Eukaryotic small subunit ribosomal RNA". The record is from RNAcentral. Lineage: Eukaryota; Metazoa; Arthropoda; Arachnida; Ixodida; Ixodidae.
UACCUGGUUGAUCCUGCCAGUAAUCAUAUGCUUGUCUCAAAGAUUAAGCCAUGCAUGUCUAAGUACAUGCCGAAAUAAGGCGAAACCGCGAAUGGCUCAUUAAAUCAGUUAUGGUUCCUUAGAUCGUUUCUUCCUACUUGGAUAACUGUGGCAAUUCUAGAGCUAAUACAUGCAGUGAGCCUGAAGCCCUUUGGGCGACGGGUGCUUUUAUUAGACCAAGAUCGAUCGGGUUUCGGCCCGUAUUGUGUGGUGACUCUGGAUAACUUUGUGCUGAUCGCAUGGCCACGAGCCGGCGACGUUUCUUUCAAGUGUCUGCCUUAUCAACUUUCGAUGGUAGGUUACUUGCUUACCAUGGUUGUUACGGGUAACGGAGAAUCAGGGUUCGAUUCCGGAGAGGGAGCCUGAGAAACGGCUACCACAUCCAAGGAAGGCAGCAGGCGCGCAAAUUACCCACUCCCGGCACGGGGAGGUAGUGACGAAAAAUAACAAUACGGGACUCUUUUGAGGCCCCGUAAUUGAAAUGAGUACACUCUAAAUCCUUUAACGAGGAUCAAUUGGAGGGCAAGUCUGGUGCCAGCAGCCGCGGUAAUUCCAGCUCCAAUAGCGUAUACUAAAGCUGCUGCGGUUAAAAAGCUCGUAGUUGGAUCUCAGUUCCAGACGAGUAGUGCAUCUACCCGAUGCGACGGCUCGGACUGAACAUCAUGCCGGUUCCUUUCUUGGUGCACUUCAUUGUGUGCCUCGAGAAGGCCGGUGCUUUUACUUUGAAAAAAUUAGAGUGCUCAACGCAGGCGAGUCGCCUGAAUAAACUUGCAUGGAAUAAUAGAACAAGACCUCGUUUCUGUUCUGUUGGUUUUUGGAAUACGAGGUAAUGAUUAAGAGGGACAGACGGGGGCAUUCGUAUUGCGGCGCUAGAGGUGAAAUUCUUGGACCGUCGCAAGACGAACUACUGCGAAAGCAUUUGCCAAGAAUGUUUUCUUUGAUCAAGAACGAAAGUCAGAGGUUCGAAGGCGAUCAGAUACCGCCCUAGUUCUGACCAUAAACGAUGCCAACCAGCGAUCCGCCUGAGUUACUCAAAUGACUCGGCGGGCAGCUUCCGGGAAACCAAAGUGUUUGGGUUCCGGGGGAAGUAUGGUUGCAAAGCUGAAACUUAAAGGAAUUGACGGAAGGGCACCACCAGGAGUGGAGCCUGCGGCUUAAUUUGACUCAACACGGGAAAACUUACCCGGCCCGGACACUGGGAGGAUUGACAGAUUGAGAGCUCUUUCUUGAUUCGGUGGAUGGUGGUGCAUGGCCGUUCUUAGUUGGUGGAGCGAUUUGUCUGGUUAAUUCCGAUAACGAACGAGACUCUAGCCUAUUAAAUAGGUGCGGGGUUCCCAGCACCUUACAACCUUCUUAGAGGGACAAGCGGCUCCUAGCCGCACGAAACAGAGCAAUAACAGGUCUGUGAUGCCCUUAGAUGUCCGGGGCCGCACGCGCGCUACACUGAAGGAAGCAGCGUGUCUUUAUCCCUGUCUGAAAGGACUGGGUAACCCGUGGAACUUCUUUCGUGAUUGGGAUAGGGGCUUGCAAUUGUUCCCCUUGAACGAGGAAUUCCCAGUAAGCGCGAGUCAUAAGCUCGCGUUGAUUACGUCCCUGCCCUUUGUACACACCGCCCGUCGCUACUACCGAUUGAAUGAUUUAGUGAGGUCUUCGGACCGAUGUCCGGCGCGGCCUUUCGGUUGCGCCGGUCUGUUGGAAAGAUGACCAAACUUGAUCAUUUAGAGGAAGUAAAAGUCGUAACAAGGUUUCCGUAGGUGAACCUGCGGAAGGAUCAUUA